This is a long non-coding RNA of Cyprinodon tularosa, 403 nucleotides long. RefSeq lists it as uncharacterized. The record is from RefSeq and is a predicted model, not a curated record. The transcript has 3 exons. NCBI's taxonomy places the organism in Eukaryota, Metazoa, Chordata, Actinopteri, Cyprinodontiformes, Cyprinodontidae.
AAGCGUGUAAGGACAGGUGCGACCUAAAUGAGUUUCAAGAGAGAACGCUGGAUGGAUGGGGGAGCUUGGCAGUGAGACGCACUCACCAUCAGAGACCUUCAGGCAUCAAUCAUUCCUGCUGAGCCUGUCAGGAAAACGUUCGGCCCGUGGCCAGCAGGCAGGUGCUGAACCCGCCAAAGGAGGAUGAGAGUUAAUGCUGGCCAACCUGUUGUCAUCCUCCCACAAUUACCAGCACAACUGGCUUUAAGCUUGACUUUGGUUCAGCGACAGACCCCGCCUCUCACCCAUAGCCUGCAGGAGGAUUGAGGAUUCCCCAUGUGAGAUGUGAAAAUAGGCACCUUUAAAGGAAGAGAUCAAAAAUCCAAUUUGAAAUUUCUUUUUUCUGCUUGAAGAGAAAAGAUGG